RNA transcript from Prinia subflava (tawny-flanked prinia), 1454 nucleotides. It is a transcript of the gene named proteoglycan 3-like, with no coding region annotated. NCBI's taxonomy places the organism in Eukaryota, Metazoa, Chordata, Aves, Passeriformes, Cisticolidae. The transcript has 2 exons. The record is from RefSeq and is a predicted model, not a curated record.
CCUGGCGUCCAGGGGAGGGGAUGCAAGGGCAUGAAGGGGGGGCUGUGGUGGUUUGGGAUGCAUGGUGUGGGGAGGGGGCUGUGGUGGUUUGGGGUGCAGGUUGUCAGUACAGGGGCUCGGGGAGGUUGGGGUACUGGGGCUGGAGAGGUUGGGGUGCAGGGGUGCACAGGGCAUGGGGAUGAGCAUUGGAGUGCAGAGUCCUCAGGGGGGCUGUGGGUGCUCAGCUGCAGGCCCAGGGGCUGGUCAGGGGCAUGGCAGGCUUUGGGGUAGGACUCGAGGUGGUCUGUGGGCAAACGGCCAGGCCAGACCCUGGGGGCCCUGGUCGUUGGGAAGGAAAUGGCCCUUGGGCAAGCAUGGCUGGCGGGAGAUGGUAUCAGCACCCCAACAUCCCCUCCGUACUCCCAGCACCCCCACCCCAGGACAUGCUGCACCCCAUACACCCGCCUUGCACCCCUCAGACUGGAUCAGCCCCCACCCGUGCACUCCCAGCCCUUUCACCCCCCCAGCACCCACAUUCUGCCUGGGGCACCCCCGUGCAUCCCCCACCCUGCAGGCCCCCCUCCCUGGGGUCCAUGUGUGUCCCACUGUGGGCAGGGACUCCUUUCCCCCCAACCCCCCCAGUGUCACCCCAAUGUCCUCAUGGUGUCCCCAGGGCCAGGCUGGGUGGCGCAAGGCUGUGGUGGUGACAUGUGGCCAUGUCACCCCUAUAAGAGCAACAAUGGGCAGAGCCCCCCUCAGCCCCCAGGUGAGGAGCGGGGAUGGGGACAGGGACAAGGACAGGGAACAUCAGAGUGGGCUCAGCCCUUGGCUGCUGGUGUGGGGACCAGGAGUGGGCAUCCUCGAGGCUGGGAUGAGGGUAUCAGGGGGACAAGGGGAUCUCUGGGAUGCUAGGAGUACAUGGGAGUGGCACAGAGGGUGGUGGAGGGACAAUGGGGAUGUGGGGCACAGAGGGGCAGGAUGGGGUGAGCAACACAAGGUGGUGGCAGGACAGUGGGGACAUGGGGAAUGGAAGAAGGGCCACAGAGAGAACAGAUUGUUACCCAAGGGUGGUAGAGGGGCUCUGGACCAUGGUGGGGGGUGACCAAGGGUGACAGGACUGCGGCAUCUCCAGAGGUUGGUGGUGGUGUCCUCAGUGUGCCUGCGUGUCCCACUGCCAUGUGGCCCUGCCUGCUGCUCGCUCUGGCCCUCCUGGGCACUGUCCCUGCCAGCCACCCUGGUGAGCGUCCCCCUGCUCCAGUGAGUGUCCCCCACACCCCUGCCCGCUCCCAGUGCUAUGACCACUGACGCCACAUGCCUGGGGCUGGUGCUGGGUGGUAGAGGGACCCCCAGUCCCCCCACUCUGCCCUGCAGCCCCCCGCCAGCUCCAGGGGGUCCCCACUGGUGAAACCCCCCAUCUGCGGUACGUCGUGGUGAAGAAGCUGCGCACCUAUUCGGGCGCCCAGCAAUACUGCCAG